Molecule: ribosomal RNA, 443 nt
Filed under: uncultured bacterium
Lineage: Bacteria
Description: partial 16S ribosomal RNA
Rfam family: Bacterial small subunit ribosomal RNA
Source: RNAcentral
CCUACGGGUGGCUGCAGUGGGGAAUAUUGGGCAAUGGGCGCAAGCCUGACCCAGCAACGCCGCGUGAAGGAAGAAGGCUUUCGGGUUGUAAACUUCUUUUCUCAGGGACGAAGAAUGUGACGGUACCUGAGGACUAAGCCACGGCUAACUACGUGCCGGCCCCCGCGGUAAUACGUAGGUGGCAAGCGUUAACCGGAUUUAUUGGGUGUAAAGGGCGUGUAGGCGGGAGCGCAAGUCAGAUGUGAAAACUCAGGGCUCAACCCUGCGCGUGCAUUUGAAACUGUGUUGCUUGAGUGCUGGAGAGGCGAUCGGAAUGCGGGGUGUAGCGGUGAAAUGCGUAGAUAUACGGAGGAACACCAGUUGCGAAGGCAGAUUGCUGGACAGUAACUGACGCUGAGGCGCGAAAGCGUGGGGAGCAAACAGGAUUAGAUACCCGGGUAGUC